UACAGAGGUCCCAAGCGUUGUUCGGAUUCACUGGGCGUAAAGGGUGCGUAGGUGGCUUGGUAAGUUCGAUGUGAAAUCUCCGGGCUUAACCCGGAAAUGGCAUUGAAUACUAUUGAGCUGGAGGUUUGGAGGGGGGACUGGAAUUCUCGGUGUAGCAGUGAAAUGCGUAGAGAUCGUAAGGAAGGCCAGUGGCGAAGGCGAGUUCCUGGACAGUUACUGACGCUGAGGCACGAAGGCCAGGGGAGCAAACGGG
This 253-nucleotide ribosomal RNA is filed under the name uncultured bacterium. Its description in RNAcentral is "partial 16S ribosomal RNA". It matches the Rfam family "Bacterial small subunit ribosomal RNA", at positions 524 to 776 of the family's 1533-position model. The record is from RNAcentral.